CGCAGUGGGGAUAUUGCACAAUGGGGGAAACCCUGAUGCAGCGACGCAGCGUGCGGGAUGACGGCCUUCGGGUUGUAAACCGCUUUCAGCAGGGAAGAAGCGAAAGUGACGGUACCUGCAGAAGAAGUACCGGCUAACUACGUGCCAGCAGCCGCGGUAAUACGUAGGGUACGAGCGUUGUCCGGAAUUAUUGGGCGUAAAGAGCUCGUAGGUGGUUGGUCACGUCUGCUGUGGAAACGCAACGCUUAACGUUGCGCGGGCAGUGGGUACGGGCUGACUAGAGUGCAGUAGGGGAGUCUGGAAUUCCUGGUGUAGCGGUGAAAUGCGCAGAUAUCAGGAGGAACACCGGUGGCGAAGGCGGGACUCUGGGCUGUAACUGACACUGAGGAGCGAAAGCAUGGGGAGCGAACAGGAUUAGAUACCCUGGUAGUCCAUGCCGUAAACGUUGGGCACUAGGUGUGGGGGACAUUCCACGUUCUCCGCGCCGUAGCUAACGCAUUAAGUGCCCCGCCUGGGGAGUACGGUCGCAAGGCUAAAACUCAAAGGAAUUGACGGGGCCCCC
This 562-nucleotide ribosomal RNA is filed under the name Brevibacterium sp. RNAcentral's name for it is "bacterial SSU rRNA". It matches the Rfam family "Bacterial small subunit ribosomal RNA", at positions 350 to 923 of the family's 1533-position model. The record is from RNAcentral. Lineage: Bacteria; Bacillati; Actinomycetota; Actinomycetes; Micrococcales; Brevibacteriaceae.